This 448-nucleotide ribosomal RNA is filed under the name uncultured bacterium. Its description in RNAcentral is "bacterial SSU rRNA". It matches the Rfam family "Bacterial small subunit ribosomal RNA", at positions 355 to 825 of the family's 1533-position model. The record is from RNAcentral.
CAGGGAAUCUUGCACAAUGGGCGAAAGCCUGAUGCAGCGACGCCGCGUGGGGGAUGAAGGCCCUAGGGUCGUAAACCCCUUUCAGCAGGGACGAAGAUGACGGUACCUGCAGAAGAAGCCCCGGCCAACUACGUGCCAGCAGCCGCGGUAAGACGUAGGGGGCGAGCGUUGUCCGGAUUUACUGGGCGUAAAGGGCGCGUAGGCGGCAUGACAAGUCACUUGUGAAAUCUCUGGGCUUAACCCAGAACGGCCAAGUGAUACUGUCGCGCUAGAGUGCAGAAGGGGCAAUCGGAAUUCUUGGUGUAGCGGUGAAAUGCGUAGAUAUCAAGAGGAACACCUGAGGUGAAGACGGGUUGCUGGGCUGACACUGACGCUGAGGCGCGAAAAGCCAGGGGAGCAAACGGGAUUAGAUACCCCCGUAGUCCCUGAGCGGGCUGGCAAGGCGCAU